RNAcentral lists this transfer RNA (83 nucleotides) under Mycobacteriales bacterium. RNAcentral's name for it is "tRNA-Leu". It matches the Rfam family "tRNA". From Rfam's summary of the family: Transfer RNA (tRNA) molecules are approximately 80 nucleotides in length. Their secondary structure includes four short double-helical elements and three loops (D, anti-codon, and T loops). Further hydrogen bonds mediate the characteristic L-shaped molecular structure. tRNAs have two regions of fundamental functional importance: the anti-codon, which is responsible for specific mRNA codon recognition, and the 3' end, to which the tRNAs corresponding amino acid is attached (by aminoacyl-tRNA synthetases). tRNAs cope with the degeneracy of the genetic code in two manners: having more than one tRNA (with a specific anti-codon) for a particular amino acid; and 'wobble' base-pairing, i.e. permitting non-standard base-pairing at the 3rd anti-codon position. The record is from RNAcentral. RNAcentral also lists the same sequence under 1 other name. Lineage: Bacteria; Bacillati; Actinomycetota; Actinomycetes; Mycobacteriales.
GCCGGGGUGGAGGAACGGCAGACUCGGACGCCUCAAAAGCGUCUGCUUGAAAGAGCGUGCGGGUUCGAAUCCCGCUCCCGGCA